AACGAACGCUGGCGGCAGGCUUAACACAUGCAAGUCGAACGCACCUUUCGGGGUGAGUGGCCGACGGGUGAGUAACGCGUGGGAAUCUACCCUUCUCUACGGGAUAGCUCCGGGAAACUGGAAUUAAUACCGUAUACGUCCUGAGGGAGAAAGAUUUAUCGGGGAAGGAUGAGCCCGCGUUGGAUUAGCUAGUUGGUGGGGUAAAGGCCUACCAAGGCGACGAUCCAUAGCUGGUCUAAGGGGAUGAUCAGCCACAUUGGGACUGAGACACGGCCCAAACGCCGACGCGAGGCGGGAGUGGGGGAUAGUGGAAAAUGGGAGAAAGGCUGAUGGAGUGAUGCCGGGAGAAGGAUGAAGGCCGUAAAGUAGAAAAGCGCUGGCGACUAGGACCAUCAUGACGGUACCUAAGAAAAAAGCCACGGCUAACUACGUG
This 433-nucleotide ribosomal RNA is filed under the name uncultured bacterium. RNAcentral describes it as "partial 16S ribosomal RNA". It matches the Rfam family "Bacterial small subunit ribosomal RNA", at positions 30 to 507 of the family's 1533-position model. The record is from RNAcentral.